GAAGGGAUGCGAGAAAUAGUUGCCAUUCAUGGAUUCGUUCCCCCAAAUACCUACAACAGCUUGGAGGGUCUGCACUGGCCGGAAGCUGGAAUCAGAAGCCAGAGCCAGGCAUCAAACCCAAGCGCUCCGGUACGGGAUGCAGGAAUCCACACGGGCAUCUCAAUCACUAACGAGGCCAGCUGUCAACCCCACCAAAAUCCUUUUGCCCCUCACUGAUGCUUCUUUGUUUCUCUCCCUCGCCCAGCAGGCUCAAGGUGCGCCUGUCUGCCUACCAGACACCGGAUCCUGCAAGAUUGUGAACGUAGUAAGUCUUGACCUGGAUGGAAUUCCAGGCUCCUGGAUUCAGCCUGACCCAGACCUGACAAUUAUGGCCAUCUGA
RNAcentral lists this long non-coding RNA (379 nucleotides) under Oryctolagus cuniculus (rabbit). RNAcentral's name for it is "lncRNA (ENSOCUG00000037279.1)". Lineage: Eukaryota; Metazoa; Chordata; Mammalia; Lagomorpha; Leporidae. The record is from RNAcentral.